GGCAGCAGUGGGGAAUAUUGCACCAAUGGGCGAAAGCUGAUGCAGCGACGCGCGUGAGGGAUGAUGCUUCGGGUGUAAACCUCUUUCAGGUAGGGAGAAGCCGCCUUUGGUGGUGACGGUACUUGCAGAAGAAGCGCCGGGCUAACUACGUGCCAGCAGCCGCGGUAAUACGUAGGGCGCAAGCGUUAUCCGGAAUUAUUGGGCGUAAAGAGCUCGUAGGCGGUUUGUCGCGUCUGCUGUGAAAGCCCGGGGCUCAACCCCGGGUCUGCAGUGGGUACGGGCAGACUGGAGUGCAGUAGGGGAGACUGGAAUUCCUGGUGUAGCGGUGAAAUGCGCAGAUAUCAGGAGGAACACCGAUGGCGAAGGCAGGUCUCUGGGCUGUUACUGACGCUGAGGAGCGAAAGCAUGGGGAGCGAACAGGAUUAGAUACCCUGGUAGUCCAUGCCGUAAACGUUGGGCACUAGGUGUGGGGGACAUUCCACGUUUUCCGCGCCGUAGCUAACGCAUUAAGUGCCCCGCCUGGGGAGUACGGCCGCAAGGCUAAAACUCAAAGGAAUUGACGGGGGCCCGCACAAGCGGCGGAGCAUGCGGAUUAAUUCGAUGCAACGCGAAGAACCUUACCAAGGCUUGACAUGUACCGGUAACGCCUGGAAACAGGUGCCCCCUUUUGGGCCGGUAUACAGGUGGUGCAUGGUUGUCGUCAGCUCGUGUCGUGAGAUGUUGGGUUAAGUCCCGCAACGAGCGCAACCCUCGUCCUAUGUUGCCAGCGGAUAAUGCCGGGGACUCAUAGGAGACUGCCGGGGUCAACUCGGAGGAAGGUGGGGAUGACGUCAAAUCAUCAUGCCCCUUAUGUCUUGGGCUUCACGCAUGCUACAAUGGCCGGUACAAAGGGCUGCGAUACCGCGAGGUGGAGCGAAUCCCAAAAGCCGGUCUCAGUUCGGAUUGGGGUCUGCAACUCGACCCCAUGAAGUUGGAGUCGCUAGUAAUCGCAGAUCAGCAACGCCGCGGUGAAUACGUUCCCGGG
RNAcentral lists this ribosomal RNA (1024 nucleotides) under uncultured bacterium. RNAcentral describes it as "bacterial SSU rRNA". It matches the Rfam family "Bacterial small subunit ribosomal RNA", at positions 347 to 1378 of the family's 1533-position model. The record is from RNAcentral.